Molecule: ribosomal RNA, 253 nt
Filed under: uncultured bacterium
Lineage: Bacteria
Description: partial 16S ribosomal RNA
Rfam family: Bacterial small subunit ribosomal RNA
Source: RNAcentral
UACGUAGGUGGCAAGCGUUGUCCGGAUUUACUGGGCGUAAAGAGCGCGCAGGCGGUCGGAUAAGUCGAAUGUGAAAGCCCCCGGCUCAACUGGGGAGGGUCAUUCGAUACUGUUCGACUCGAAGGCAGGAGAGGGAAGUGGAAUUCCCGGUGUAGUGGUGAGAUGCGUAGAUAUCGGGAGGAACACCAGUGGCGAAGGCGACUUCCUGGCCUGUUCUUGACGCUGAGGCGCGAAAGCUAGGGGAGCAAACGGG